Long non-coding RNA from Oncorhynchus keta (chum salmon), 774 nucleotides. RefSeq lists it as uncharacterized. The transcript has 4 exons. Lineage: Eukaryota; Metazoa; Chordata; Actinopteri; Salmoniformes; Salmonidae. The record is from RefSeq and is a predicted model, not a curated record.
AAAUCAGUCCCUGAUUAGAGGGCAACAAUGAAAAAAUGCAUUGGAACUGGCUUCGAGGUCCAGAGAUGAGUUUAGCUGCACUAGAGCAGGGGUGUGAAACUCAUUCCAUGGAGGGCCGACUCUCUGUCAAGGGUGAAGCGAAAAUCCGCAGACACUCGGCCCUCUGUAGAAUGAGUUUGACACAUGUGGACUAGAGUUUUCAACAUGAUAUCAUAGGAAAACAUAAUCUUGAUCAUUUGAUUGUCUUCAUUUAACCCAAAAGAGGAAAGGAAACCGUGUCGCAGUCUGCCAAGAUUCUGUUUACUGACUCACUGGGACAAGAGAUACUGGGAGGAAGGUCAUUGCAGUAUUUCAAGCACACCUUACCUGGAAGCAUUGCAGGCCUGGGACAAAUGUAUGCAAAAUGCUUUUUAAUAUGUCUGAUGCACUUGACCUAGCUUGGCCAGCACAAUGGAACCAAAGAACAGUCCCAAACUUGAAAACUCCACCUCUGACUAGCUUGCACUCCGGUCAAGCUUAAUCAAGUGCACCACAAGUAAUUACAAGUACUGUAUUUAACUAAGGUGCAGUAAUGCCCUAAUGUCAGAUUACAAUAUACUAUGUGAUUCACAAUUGAACUAUCCAUCUACCGAGACAUUACUGGUGGGUGGAUCUUUUCAGUGUGAAAGUGCUCAUUAUAUUCCUCUGGUGUCUCUCAUGUUGACAAUGGUGCAAAUGAUUAUAGAGCAUCUAAAAAAAUAUGUACAAUUGAUUAAAGUUUUUGGGGCACAAGCA